AUUGUUUUCGAUCUACGUUCGGAGUAGCGGUUGCGAGAAUUCGUAAAUUAGAGAGAGAUGGAGAUGGAAGGAAGGGAGGAAAGAAAAUUGGUGUCAAAAACAAAGAGUAUUGCACCGACGUGAGAAUGACCUUUUUAAAAUAAGUAGAGUUAUUUAAAAAUAUUUAAGAUUAUAUUUAAUUAAUUUUUACGAAUAAAAUCGUGUGGGAUAUAAGCACGUAAGAAAAUGUGCUUUAGACAUGGCCGAAAUGUUCAUGUUUGAUUAUUGGCCCUUUGUGAAUCUAAUUGCAAGGCAUUGCCUUGUCGGCUAUACCCUGACACGCGCGAGAAUUUUCGGUGUUCGGUUUUGUCUUCUAAUUCUCUUUGCAUUUUGAGUUGACUGCUGUUGCAUUCAGAAGUGUUUUGCGUAUUAGUUGCGUAAAAAUGAAAUAUUAUAAGACGGUGUGAAUGGGAUUCAGUACGGAAUUACAAAGUUUUUUUUAUCCAGUUUAAGUUGAUAAAACAAGUUUCUUAAAGGACACAGCAGCCGACAAAGGAGGCCCGUGACACGCACAUAUGUAUAUAUAUGUACAUGUUUAAUUUUGCAGAAAAAUGUAAUGCUACCAAAAAAGUGAAGAUAAAUAAAAAUAUGCAAUCCAUAAAUAAAUAAGAAUUAAAUUACAUCGGAUUUUUAUAGGAAGGGGGGAUUUUUCAGGAAUUUUCUAUAGGUUUUCAUCUGGGAUUCCUCGACGAUUCCCCAAGCGAUUCCCGCAAGAUUCGUCGACGAUUCCCCCAGCGAUUCCUUGACGAAUCGUGCACGAUUAUCUUUCGAAAUUCCCGGUGACUUUCCCUGGCGAUUCGUGGCGGAUUCUUGGCGAAUUUCGAAUUCGUGGCUGGGAUCACCUUUUGUAUGGAAAUUCCUCGAAGUUUUGUAUGAACGUUCCCUGACGAUUCGUCAGGGAUCUAUUUCGGUUCCGUGAGGAAUCGUAGGGGAAUCGUUGAGGAAUGGAACUGAAGGGUCCCU
Molecule: long non-coding RNA, 1002 nt
Organism: Drosophila kikkawai
Lineage: Eukaryota; Metazoa; Arthropoda; Insecta; Diptera; Drosophilidae
Source: RefSeq, a predicted model, not a curated record